CCUACGGGAGGCAGCAGUGAGGAAUAUUGGUCAAUGGGCGUAAGCCUGAACCAGCCAAGUCGCGUGAGGGAUGAAGGUCCUAUGGAUCGUAAACCUCUUUUAUAAGGGAAUAAAGUGUGGGACGUGUCCCGUUUUGUAUGUACCUUAUGAAUAAGGAUCGGCUAACUCCGUGCCAGCAGCCGCGGUAAUACGGAGGAUCCGAGCGUUAUCCGGAUUUAUUGGGUUUAAAGGGUGCGUAGGCGGCUUUUUAAGUCAGUGGUGAAAGUGUGUGGCUCAACCGUAGAAUUGCCGUUGAAACUGGGAGGCUUGAGUAUGUUAGAGGCAGGCGGAAGGCGUGGUGUAGCGGUGAAAUGCUUAGAGAUCACGAAGAACCCCGAUUGCGAAGGCAGCCCGCCGGGCCAUGACUGACGCUGAUGCACGAAAGCGUGGGGAUCAAACAGGAUUAGAUACCCGAGUAGUC
RNAcentral lists this ribosomal RNA (460 nucleotides) under uncultured bacterium. RNAcentral describes it as "partial 16S ribosomal RNA". It matches the Rfam family "Bacterial small subunit ribosomal RNA", at positions 338 to 795 of the family's 1533-position model. The record is from RNAcentral.